GCUUCUGUGGCAUAAUGGAUGAGGCUUUGGCCUCCGGAGCCAAUGACUGUGGAUUCAAGUCACACCAGGGGCG
RNAcentral lists this transfer RNA (73 nucleotides) under Caerostris darwini. Its description in RNAcentral is "tRNA-Arg". It matches the Rfam family "tRNA". From Rfam's summary of the family: Transfer RNA (tRNA) molecules are approximately 80 nucleotides in length. Their secondary structure includes four short double-helical elements and three loops (D, anti-codon, and T loops). Further hydrogen bonds mediate the characteristic L-shaped molecular structure. tRNAs have two regions of fundamental functional importance: the anti-codon, which is responsible for specific mRNA codon recognition, and the 3' end, to which the tRNAs corresponding amino acid is attached (by aminoacyl-tRNA synthetases). tRNAs cope with the degeneracy of the genetic code in two manners: having more than one tRNA (with a specific anti-codon) for a particular amino acid; and 'wobble' base-pairing, i.e. permitting non-standard base-pairing at the 3rd anti-codon position. Lineage: Eukaryota; Metazoa; Arthropoda; Arachnida; Araneae; Araneidae. The record is from RNAcentral.